UACGUAGGGUGCGAGCGUUGUCCGGAAUUACUGGGCGUAAAGAGCUCGUAGGUGGUUUGUCGCGUUGUCCGUGAAAACUCACAACUCAAUUGUGGGCGUGCGGGCGAUACGGGCAGACUGGAGUACUGCAGGGGAGACUGGAAUUCCUGGUGUAGCGGUGAAAUGCGCAGAUAUCAGGAGGAACACCGGUGGCGAAGGCGGGUCUCUGGGCAAUAACUGACGCUGAGGAGCGAAAGCGUGGGGAGCGAACAGG
RNAcentral lists this ribosomal RNA (253 nucleotides) under uncultured bacterium. RNAcentral describes it as "partial 16S ribosomal RNA". It matches the Rfam family "Bacterial small subunit ribosomal RNA", at positions 524 to 776 of the family's 1533-position model. The record is from RNAcentral.